GAUGAACGCUGGCGGCGUGCCUAAUACAUGCAAGUCGAGCGAACGGACGAGAAGCUUGCUUCUCUGAUGUUAGCGGCGGACGGGUGAGUAACACGUGGAUAACCUACCUAUAAGACUGGGAUAACUUCGGGAAACCGGAGCUAAUACCGGAUAAUAUUUUGAACCGCAUGGUUCAAAAGUGAAAGACGGUCUUGCUGUCACUUAUAGAUGGAUCCGCGCUGCAUUAGCUAGUUGGUAAGGUAACGGCUUACCAAGGCAACGAUGCAUAGCCGACCUGAGAGGGUGAUCGGCCACACUGGAACUGAGACACGGUCCAGACUCCUACGGGAGGCAGCAGUAGGGAAUCUUCCGCAAUGGGCGAAAGCCUGACGGAGCAACGCCGCGUGAGUGAUGAAGGUCUUCGGAUCGUAAAACUCUGUUAUUAGGGAAGAACAUAUGUGUAAGUAACUGUGCACAUCUUGACGGUACCUAAUCAGAAAGCCACGGCUAACUACGUGCCAGCAGCCGCGGUAAUACGUAGGUGGCAAGCGUUAUCCGGAAUUAUUGGGCGUAAAGCGCGCGUAGGCGGUUUUUUAAGUCUGAUGUGAAAGCCCACGGCUCAACCGUGGAGGGUCAUUGGAAACUGGAAAACUUGAGUGCAGAAGAGGAAAGUGGAAUUCCAUGUGUAGCGGUGAAAUGCGUAGAGAUAUGGAGGAACACCAGUGGCGAAGGCGACUUUCUGGUCUGUAACUGACGCUGAUGUGCGAAAGCGUGGGGAUCAAACAGGAUUAGAUACCCUGGUAGUCCACGCCGUAAACGAUGAGUGCUAAGUGUUAGGGGGUUUCCGCCCCUUAGUGCUGCAGCUAACGCAUUAAGCACUCCGCCUGGGGAGUACGACCGCAAGGUUGAAACUCAAAGGAAUUGACGGGGACCCGCACAAGCGGUGGAGCAUGUGGUUUAAUUCGAAGCAACGCGAAGAACCUUACCAAAUCUUGACAUCCUUUGACAACUCUAGAGAUAGAGCUUUCCCCUUCGGGGGGCAAAGUGACAGGUGGUGCAUGGUUGUCGUCAGCUCGUGUCGUGAGAUGUUGGGUUAAGUCCCGCAACGAGCGCAACCCUUAAGCUUAGUUGCCAUCAUUAAGUUGGGCACUCUAAGUUGACUGCCGGUGACAAACCGGAGGAAGGUGGGGAUGACGUCAAAUCAUCAUGCCCCUUAUGAUUUGGGCUACACACGUGCUACAAUGGACAAUACAAAGGGCAGCGAAACCGCGAGGUCAAGCAAAUCCCAUAAAGUUGUUCUCAGUUCGGAUUGUAGUCUGCAACUCGACUACAUGAAGCUGGAAUCGCUAGUAAUCGUAGAUCAGCAUGCUACGGUGAAUACGUUCCCGGGUCU
Molecule: ribosomal RNA, 1372 nt
Filed under: uncultured bacterium
Lineage: Bacteria
Description: bacterial SSU rRNA
Rfam family: Bacterial small subunit ribosomal RNA
Source: RNAcentral